CCCCAGCACAUUCCUGUUGGAGUAGCACGUGGCCUGUGCAGCUUCGUGUGGGACAAGGGAGGCGACUGUGUCCGUGUUGACUCAGCCCUGCCUUCCAGGAGAAACAGCUACAACGCUCUCCCUGUGUGCUGCAGCCGUCCCAGCCCUUGUGCUGAGACCGAGCUCAUCACUUGCACAAGGAAAACUGGCUGCUCUCUGUGUGGGGAAAGCAGGAGGAUUCGUUUUGUAGCCGCCUGAGCUGUGGUGGAUGAGGAGGUUCUGAGUGCCGCGCAGGACGGGUGAGUGUGUCUGUAGAUGGAGAUGUUUCAAAUUAGCCAGUGUCACACGUUGCCUGUAAAUGUGUCUGUGCGAUCCCUUUCUACAGGCAGGUGCGAGUCACUGGAGUGUAUUUACAUUUAACUGAUCACCUCGCCAAAUCUUUUGCUAUAUCCCCAGACGUUCCACCCCGUAGCUCAGGUGACU
Long non-coding RNA from Columba livia (rock pigeon), 462 nucleotides. RefSeq lists it as uncharacterized. NCBI's taxonomy places the organism in Eukaryota, Metazoa, Chordata, Aves, Columbiformes, Columbidae. The transcript has 3 exons. The record is from RefSeq and is a predicted model, not a curated record.